Molecule: transfer RNA, 105 nt
Filed under: Delitschia confertaspora ATCC 74209
Lineage: Eukaryota; Fungi; Ascomycota; Dothideomycetes; Pleosporales; Delitschiaceae
Rfam family: tRNA
About the family: Transfer RNA (tRNA) molecules are approximately 80 nucleotides in length. Their secondary structure includes four short double-helical elements and three loops (D, anti-codon, and T loops).
Source: Rfam by way of RNAcentral
GCUUCCUUGGUGUAGUCGGUUAUCACGUCGGUCUCAUAGUCUCGCUAUGACUAGCUUAAACAGUUAGCCAUCCGAAGGUCGCCAGUUCGAAUCUGGCAGGGAGCA